UGGGGAAUCUUGCGCAAUGGAGGAAACUCUGACGCAGCUACGCCGCGUGCAGGAAGACACCCCUACGGGGCGUAAACUGCUUUUCUGCGAGAAGAAGGCCACCCUCCGUUGGAGGGGGUUUGACGGUACCGCAGGAAUAAGGACCGGCUAACUCCGUGCCAGCAGCCGCGGUAAUACGGAGGGUCCAAGCGUUGUCCGAAAUUACUGGGUUUAAAGGGUGUGCAGGCGGAACAGCAAGUCAGCGGUGAAAGCCCGCGGCUCAACCGUGGAAGUGCCGUUGAAACUGCUGUUCUUGAGUCCCGGAGAGGUCGCUGGAAUUCGUGGUGUAGCGGUGAAAUGCGUAGAUAUCACGAGGAACACCAGAAGCGAAAGCGGGCGACCAGACGGUGACUGACGCUCAGGCACGAAAGCGUGGGGAGCGAACAGGAUUAGAUACCCGCGUAGUCC
RNAcentral lists this ribosomal RNA (447 nucleotides) under uncultured prokaryote. RNAcentral describes it as "bacterial SSU rRNA". It matches the Rfam family "Bacterial small subunit ribosomal RNA", at positions 355 to 796 of the family's 1533-position model. The record is from RNAcentral.